Grus americana (Whooping crane) is the source of this 3144-nucleotide long non-coding RNA. RefSeq lists it as uncharacterized. Lineage: Eukaryota; Metazoa; Chordata; Aves; Gruiformes; Gruidae. The transcript is spliced from 4 exons. The record is from RefSeq and is a predicted model, not a curated record.
CCCAAGGCUGAAGAUCUGGGAAAGGAAGACUUUGGAGCGUGAAGGCUCUGGCUUGCUUCCAGCCCCGACUGAAACCCACUGUGAAGAAGAGCUGCCUGUGAGCUAAGGCUGCGUAGCAGGGCUGUGGCUCUCCUGGCCAGGGGGGAAAGCUGGGUGGGACAGGCUUAGCUCUGUAAGGAGCUGAGGGAGUUUCGCUUCCCUUCACGUUAAUGACACAGUUACUCACUUCUCUUAAGCGGAAUGGCAGCAGGAAGGGAGUACGUGUGACUACAGAUGGGAGUCGUUUUUCUCGCCAUAAUUUGCAUUGCUGAAUGAUGUCACGGCAGUGACUUGUCCAUACCUUCUCCUCCUGGUGACUUAGAGCCUCCAGUCCCGGCAGUUUUACACUAAAAACUUUGGUGAAUGUGCUGGAGUAGAUGGGUCAGGGGUUUUUAUUGCUUUUAAUGGUUUAUUUUAUUGUACAAAACUGAGAUCAAUUUAUCCACAUCUGGCAACCCUGUGGGAAAAACUUGGGCAACACUUUCAGGUCCAGGUGCAACCAAAGACCAAACUGUAGAUGUAAGCAACCUGGUCAUGGGGUUUUCCAGCGUUUGAGGAGAUCUAGGAGGAAAGAUCAGUUGUCUUCUCUGGCUUUGGGCACUUGUGCAUCCUGCAGAUGCAUUGCAAGCAUUUCUCUAGAGCAUCUGGACUUUCAGUAGUGUCUGUCUCUGAUCCUGAGCCAUAAGGGAGUGGGUGCGCUUGGCUUCCAAUUGCUACAGAAAUCCAAGGCUCUGCUACUUCAACAUCCGAUGCGUCUUGCUGCGUGCUCUGCUCUGAAGACCUUGUGUUCUGGAUGCUCUUCCACCCUCUGAGGAGGAGGUUCGUUUUGGCGUGGUGGUGGAUCCCUGGCGCAGACCUCAAACCCCCAGCCCGGGCCAGGUGGGUGGGUGAAGGCUACGAGAGGCAGCAGGAGCCUGGCCGCAGGGUGGGCUCGGCCGCGUGUGCGGGCGAGCAGAGGGGGAAAUGAGAUCACUUCUGCGGCUCUCCCUUUUGCGGCCCACUUCCUCCUCAUUUACAUCUUGCACGCUGUCAGAUGUGGGAGAAGGAAGAGUGGUGACCGCAGGGACGGAGCUGCCCAGGCUGGACCUGCCUGCAGGAGGGGGACCAGGGUGCAGCCUCACCCCCCAGCACGGGGUGCGGGAAGCGGCUGUGGCUGAGCUGCUGACCAGCUCCCCUCUGCCUUCCCGCACGGCGCUGCACUCUCAGAAACGUGGUUUUGCUUUCUACUAAGACCUAUUUCUGCCUUUUUUCUGAGCCCCACAGAGGAUAUUGCACCUUUUAGAAACUAAAGGGUCAAAGGGGGGAUCCUCUAUGAAAGUCGUUGCUGUGGGGCUCCUGGAUGGUGUCUAGGUCCUCGAUGAAGUGUCCUCCAAGCCCAAAGGCAUCAUUUUCCCACCUGGUUCCCUGCGGGCUCGUUGCACGUUGUCUGUCUGGUGGGGUUAUUUCCUUCCCCCUCCUCCCUGAGCUCAUGCAGCCCCAGUACCUGCAGGUGUCAGCAAGCGGCGUGUCGCUGCAAAGGCAAGCGAGCGAACCCUGCGCUCUGCUCAGAACAACCCAGAGUUAAUUCUGCGUUCAAAGACGACGACGACUUCUUUCCAUCAGAAAACCUGGCAAGGGCUUGGAGAGUCCUGACGGCUGAAAAUGGGGGAGCAAAGGGGAGCUUGGUCGAGGAUAAACGGGUAAUCGAGAGCCAGCCGGGAGCGUGGGCUGCUGCGAGGGGAGCAGGAGCGGGGUGUGGAGUCGGCCCGGAGGAGGAUGCUCUCGCUGCGGGGUUUUCCCAGGCACACGAGCUGCUGUGAAACCGGAGCCUGGAGCUUUAGUUUAGUGACUGAUGUCAGGGCUUGCACGUGCGUUUCCCUGGCAGAAGACCGAGCGUGGCUAGAAAUACGCUGGAGGGAAACGGUGCUGCUUGCACAGCUCCAGCUGCAGCGCUGGGGCUGCGGAGGUGCCCGUGCUUGUUUGUGUACGUCGAUGCAUCCACGCCAUCCUGGGAUGGACACGGCCUUCGCUGUUCCCUGGGGAUAAACUGAGUGGAUUCCUGUCCAGGAAUUCAGCCAGAGGCAACUACCGCUACCGGCAGCUUCUGAGAUACAUUAGAACUUCAGCUUCCCUCGUUUUAUCCGGAGCGGAGUCGUCGCUGACCACAGUACCUGGGAAUGAACAACUGGAGGGAGAUGCUGGUCUUCACCCUGCGGCCAUUCCUCCCUGAGAUCCAACACGCGAGAUGCUGCUGCGACGGGGUCAGUCGCUCCAGCCUACCUAACGUUUUCUGCAAUACAGGUUGCAGUUUCCCCUGAGCUGGCGAUUGUAACGUUUCUGUAGGUAUUUAUCUAACUAAGCCUUCCCAGAGCAGCUGGUUCUUCUCCCCAUCUCUUUUUCCCUCUGCAGGGGUGCUCUCUGUGUCCUCUCCUUGUCGGGCAAAAUGCUGGAGAGCGAGCAGAGCCGGAGUCUUCCCGGGAACUCUUUGCUCCGUCCUGCCUUGCGGAACAACUUGUUUAAUUCUCUCCAGUUCUCCAUCGCGGUGGGAGUAGAGGAAGCCCAUGGAGAAACAUUUCUGCUUGCUUUGCCCCAACUCUUCGGAGGUCCUGCUGGUGCGUGAACUGGGAGUGACCUUUCUCUUGGUGCUUCCACUCGGGAAGAAAUCACAUUUCCUGCAGGAAAACAAGGGGCAUGCCGAGGCGCAGCAAUGGGGUUGCUGUUUUCUGUUGCAGUUUCUCCUUUCCCUGUGCCGGGAGCAGCAGUCCAGGGGCGACCGGGCGGCUGCCUUCUCGUUGCAACUUUUCUCUUGGUUUGUGCUUGAGAAUUUGAGGAUUGCUAAGGGGAAAAGAUCGUUUGGAGGGAAGAGUUGGUGGGAGGAAUGGAGGAAGCUCACUGGGUGUAAAACCAUAUGGGGAUUCCCGGUCGUCUCCUACAGCUGCAGGAAUCGCAGCUGCCUGUGUGGACACUGCUCCGAGCGGCUGAACGUCCUUCAAUUUAAUCCACGUGUGUCACUGAGCUGGAUUGGAGCUUCAUGAAGAGCUGACCAGACCAGCAGCUCCUGGCAGCUCAAUCCCUAUACCUUUACUGUGCCCAUAUUCAAAAACAAAUUAAAAAACCCCGCAACGC